Molecule: long non-coding RNA, 2927 nt
Organism: Onychostoma macrolepis
Lineage: Eukaryota; Metazoa; Chordata; Actinopteri; Cypriniformes; Cyprinidae
Exons: 4
Source: RefSeq, a predicted model, not a curated record
GAAACUUUGGAGCGCUUAGAUUAGCGAGCAAGGUCCUGGCCGAUCGCUGGGUCACACCGGUGUUCUGUUGAUUUGUGCUACCCUGUCAGAUUUUCCUACCUCCCAUUAAAACAGUAGGUGGUACAUUUCAAUAACGAAAAACACUACCUGUUAAAUUAUGAUUUAUUAAUGUCUACACCUACCACGACCCUAAACCUACCCUUACAGUAAUGCAAAUACAGUAAUUAUGUGUUAUAUUUGCGGUUGUGGCUAAAAGGGAUACAGCUACCGGAAACCAACAAUAAAUAAUUAUUUCUAUCUAUUAGAUUGUGUUUUAUUAACGUCUACACCUACCCUAACCCUAAACCUACCCCUUACAGUAAUGCAGAUGCAUUAAAUAUUGUUGUUCAGCGUGAAAAAAGGACAAAAUAGUGAUAUGCGCAGUAAGCCCUGGUAGGAAAAUGUACCAUCGUGGAUCACAAGAAUAACUAAACUAUCAUAUCUGUUAUCAUACCAAAACAUUAUAAUCAGUGUUGUUUCAAAGUAAAAAAAAAAAAGUAAAAAUCAUCAUAACCUUAUCCUAAUAUGCACUUUAUCCUGACAAGCAUGCACAUAAACACACAAGCACAUGCAUGUAAAAUCUCCUUCUUCUCUAAUGACGCCUCACUGCUUGUGAAAACUGAGAAAGCAAUUCCUCUCAACAGAAAAAUCAUAAUAUGUGCAGAUAUAGUAUGUGAAUUACUAUUUUUGCAAAUGCAUUACAAAAUCAUGCAAAACUUCUAAUACAUUUAGAUCAUUCUAACUCUUUUCCUUACAAAGAUCAUAUACUUGUACUCUGACAGUAUGCCUGCAUGGCCGUAUGUGAGUCUAUUACAGUACAAUGUUGUUUUUUUGUAAUUUCCUGAUACAUUUGAUUAAAUAUGUAAUGUUUUUGAAAAUACUUCUUUACUUUCCAGUGAAGGUGACUAAGAUUUUUUGUAGGAAAUUAUGUGUACGGAAAUUGAUAAAAUGCACUUUUCACAGGACAAAAUAUGGAGUCAUGUGACAUGUGCACAUGUCCUGAAAGUGGAAACAAAAUGGACCCGUGUGGAUCAUGUGACCACCUUUUUGUAUGUUCAUUUAUUAGUUAAAAGCGGGGACGUCAAGUCGGACACUUUCUGCUCCCGGUAGAUGCUCGCACGGUGUGGAGUGAAAUAAAUGCAAUAUUUGUCAAACACACAGACGUUUCAGAAACGUUUUCAUGAGCAACAAACACUUUUUAUAUACUGCUUAAUACAGCACCAUCUGUUCAUGAAUACAUUUCAACAAACAUAUACUAUUUAAAUACCAAUAAAGUGGGGGUAUGCUUUUAUCUGUGUUUUUUGUUAAACGUGACUCAAUAUAACACUGCGACUACACUAAAAAAGCUUUACUGUUAUAAAAACACAGAUUUGUAAGCAUUAUGGAAAUUUAAUUGUGAGAAUAAACACACAACACAGGUCUGCUUGUCAUCAGAAUCUGACCAAUCAGAAUAAAGUGUCGUCAUCAAGGCUCAAAAUAACAAUAUCAAUACAAAGACAGAAGGAGAGCCCUCUUGUGGCUAUCAUACACACUCCGGCUGGCAGGUGUGACACUAAUCAAGUCCUUCAGGCUUAUUUGAGAACUACAGUAACAGAGUUUUGCACCCCUGGUUUAAACUGCCUCUUUCUUACAAUCGACUGCAAGCUCACAUUCAUAUCUGCGUCUGUUGUUGAGUGCAGUGAUCACAUCUCAGGAUCCACUCAACAAACACUGACACGUGAUGGACAGAAACAAGUCCUGACUUCAUUUUUCUUUUUUGAUAAUCAUUAAGAAAACAGAAGAUAUGAUCUGAUGCUACUUCUGUUUCCUUCUGACUUUAAAAUGUGGAUGUGAGUUCUGAGAGUUUUAAGAGACUUCAGUUAAAAAAUGCAGUUUUCAUUCUCAUAAAUAACUGAACUCUACACUGUAACCGAUUUCUGUAAUUUGAACAGUAUUUUACUGUAUUAUGUACAGUAAGAUACUGUAAAUGUAUAUACAGUAUUUUACUGUAAACUGCAAAGGAUUAUGGGAAAAUGUAUGGUCACUACAGUAAACUACUGUAAAUGUACAGUAGUGAACUUGCCCGCGAAAAACUGACCAGUGGCAAGGGAGAUUUAUUUUGUUUGCCGUUUGGUGGAAGCAGCGGUAGAAGGACAAAAGAGACACUUUGCACUGUUAACUAGACAAAAAGGUUAGUAGGCAUAUAUUAUUUCUGUUUUAUGCAAAACUGAGAUAUUUUCAGAUGUUUUAACUUAUUAACAGCAAACUAACAUUAUUCAUCAUGUCGUUUUUCAUGUCGGGAGUUGGGGCCUUUUUUUCUGACUGAAGGCCGGAUUUAACGCCGCCAUAACGGUGAUAACCUCGACUGUCUAGAUUUCGUCGACAACGUCAGAGGUGUAUUUUGGCGCCUCUUCUUGUGACUGGCAUAGUUUCGAUGAUAACAUCAACUGUUUGUGGUCUUGUGGUCAUGUCGUCUGCAUCGGAGGAGUAUUGGAGUAUUUUCCUGUGAUUGCCGUCGUAACAACAGGUUCAUUCAGAUCUUUGUGGCACCAAAUGCAUUGAAAGUCACAGGUCAGCUGGAAUUCUGGAAAGAGGGUGCAAAGAAAAAGGAUCUGCCUGAAUCCCAUCCUGCUGUUUCUCAUCGGAGAGCUUGUCAACUUUGACUGUCAAAAUUACUGAAAUUUAACACAACACAAACUCAUUUUUACUGUUACUAUUAUUUGAUUUUUAUUAACACUACCAGUCAAAAGUUUUUGAACGGUAAGAUUUUUAAUGUUUUUAAAGAAGCCUCUUCUGCUCACCAAGCCUGCAUUUAUUUGAUCCAAAGUACAGCAAAAUCAGUACAAUUUUGAAAUAUUUUUACUAUUUAAAAUAAAUGUUUUCUAUUUGAAUAUAUUUUAAAAUGUAAU